GCACCUCUCACACAUAUUGUGUGGAAUUGGGAUGCGCCGAAAGCUUUCGGCCCUCUUAAAAUGUAGUUCUUGACUGUUUCCUACUUACAGCAGUUUGGCCCAAUAGUUUUGACAUGUCAAAUCUUUGGCUACAUCUGUUUCAGGAUAUCAGUUUUGAUAUACAGAAAAAUUCAUUCAAAA
RNAcentral lists this unclassified non-coding RNA (180 nucleotides) under uncultured Umbelopsis. RNAcentral describes it as "sequence contains ITS2". The record is from RNAcentral. Lineage: Eukaryota; Fungi; Mucoromycota; Umbelopsidomycetes; Umbelopsidales; Umbelopsidaceae.